Long non-coding RNA from Malus domestica (apple), 310 nucleotides. RefSeq lists it as uncharacterized. The record is from RefSeq and is a predicted model, not a curated record. Lineage: Eukaryota; Viridiplantae; Streptophyta; Magnoliopsida; Rosales; Rosaceae.
GAAACGGCAUGCAUAUCAUCAUUUCAUCGGGUCUUGGUAGGAUAGCGCGACCAGCUACUCCAAAAUCCUUGUUCAAAGGUCCUGAACGUUCAAACAUGGAGGAAGAGAUUGCUUCAACUUGUCGGCCUUCUCGGAAUCAAACACACAAAGUGUGUAAAGUUAGAAGGAAAUCCUUGUCCUCUAUUUUAUGAGAGUAAAAUCUCACACAACGAUUGUGCAAAACAAUCCAACGUUACCUUUACUGUGUCCAAGAAUUGCCCUGGGUGCACGUUUCGCCCUAGAGAAGUAUUCGACCACAGAGUGCAAGUCA